AAUGUCCUACGGGGCGCAGCAGUGAGGAAUAUUGGUCAAUGGUCGGGAGACUGAACCAGCCACGCCGCGUGAGGGAGGAAGGUACAGAGUAUCGUAACCCUCUUUUGUCGGGGAACAAAGGCGGGGACGUGUCCCCGGAUGAGUGUACCUGAAGAAAAAGCAUCGGCUAACUCCGUGCCAGCAGCCGCGGUAAUACGGAGGAUGCGAGCGUUAUCCGGAUUUAUUGGGUUUAACGGGUGCACAGGCGGUCUGUUAAGUCAGCGGUCAAAGCCCGGGGCUCACCCCCGGCCCGCCGUUGCAACUGG
Molecule: ribosomal RNA, 305 nt
Filed under: uncultured bacterium
Lineage: Bacteria
Description: bacterial SSU rRNA
Rfam family: Bacterial small subunit ribosomal RNA
Source: RNAcentral